GAUGAACGCUGGCGGCGUGCUUAAUACAUGCAAGUCGAGCGAAGCACUUUAACGGAAUUCUUCGGAAGGAAGGUAAAGUGACUGAGCGGCGGACGGGUGAGUAACGCGUGGGUAACCUGCCUUAUACAGGGGGAUAACAGUUAGAAAUGGCUGCUAAUACCCCAUAUGAGCUUGGUUGAAAUACCAAUCUUGAAAGUUCCGGCGCCCUAAGAUGAGCCUGCACCUGAUUAGCUAGUUGGUGGUGUAAUGGACUACCAAGGCGAUGAUCAGUAGCUGGUUUGAGAGGAUGAUCAGCCACAAUGGGACUGAGACACGGCCCAU
RNAcentral lists this ribosomal RNA (321 nucleotides) under uncultured bacterium. Its description in RNAcentral is "bacterial SSU rRNA". It matches the Rfam family "Bacterial small subunit ribosomal RNA", at positions 28 to 334 of the family's 1533-position model. The record is from RNAcentral.